UUCUAUACUUAGGUCAGAAUAGAUGUCAAUUUGUCAGAAAUACGUGAUCAUUAGAUGAGAGCCUUUUUGAUGAGAUUUCUAGCUGAAUAUGAUUUUGAAACUUUAGUUAAACCAUUUUCAACAGGCUGUCUUGAGGAAAUUUCAUCUAGUAAAAGUCUACCUUCCAACUUAUCAAUCGGAUUAUUUACUCAGGAACUAUCAGAUUCUAUAUAGGUAUGUAAUUUGUGAAAAUGUCUUGUAAGAAAAUUUUAGCUGAAAUCAGAUUCAGAGAUUUCUUCAAUUGUAGUUAACUAGUACAUAGUUAGAAUUAACCAGAUUUCUUUAAUUGUAGGGGCAGGACAAGUAUGGGGCUUUAAAAGCCAGAAGGAUUUCUUCUCUGAAUUAGGUUUCUUGUCGGUAAUCACUGCUGCUUUUCACAACAUAUGAAAGAAGAUGUGUAAUGUGUAAUUACAGACAAUUGAAAUCUAGAAACAGAUUGAAUAAGGCACGGAAUGCUUUUAAAGGUGUGAUGUUCCAACGGUAAUGUAUCUGAUAAAGAAAAAAAGGUGGGAGUUAAAUUGAUGACAAGAACUAGUAACACUUAAAAGGCAAGUAUAGCCGAUUCAUUAUUAAAGCAACACUUCUACUGGCAUGUAGCAAAAAUCUUCAAUUCUAUGGCCUUUUAACUUCAAGCUGUACUUUUGUUGAGUAGGUUGUCUUGAGGCAGAAUAAUGUACUGCAAAUUAGGUACUGUUAAGCGGUUCAGUGAAGACUUGUGUCAAUAGAUGAAGAUAUUCUUGUAGUCCAUUGUCUAGAAUUGAUCUCCUGCCCUGCAAGGUAAAAACUUCUCACUGCUGAUGUGACAAUAGAACUUUUGUUAUGGUUCUCUGAAUUUAUGAUUGUUUUAGAGAACUGUAAUUGAGGUUUCCUUUAUUCAGCAGUAGGAAGUUUUUAUUCUACCCACUGAUGACAC
RNAcentral lists this long non-coding RNA (952 nucleotides) under Olea europaea (common olive). RNAcentral describes it as "long non-coding RNA (OEUR_LNC001267)". The record is from RNAcentral. Lineage: Eukaryota; Viridiplantae; Streptophyta; Magnoliopsida; Lamiales; Oleaceae.